GAUGAACGCUGGCGGCGUGCUUAACACAUGCAAGUCGAACGAAGCACCUUGAUUUGAUUCUUCGGAUGAAGAUCUUGGUGACUGAGUGGCGGACGGGUGAGUAACGCGUGGGUAACCUGCCUCAUACAGGGGGAUAACAGUUAGAAAUGACUGCUAAUACCGCAUAAGACCACAGCACCGCAUGGUGCAGGGGUAAAAACUCCGGUGGUAUGAGAUGGACCCGCGUCUGAUUAGGUAGUUGGUGGGGUAACGGCCUACCAAGCCGACGAUCAGUAGCCGACCUGAGAGGGUGACCGGCCACAUUGGGACUGAGACACGGCCCAAACUCCUACGGGAGGCAGCAGUGGGGAAUAUUGUACAAUGGGGGAAACCCUGAUGCAGCGACGCCGCGUGAGCGAUGAAGUAUUUCGGUAUGUAAAGCUCUAUCAGCAGGGAAGAAAAUGACGGUACCUGACUAAGAAGCACCGGCUAAAUACGUA
This 479-nucleotide ribosomal RNA is filed under the name uncultured bacterium. Its description in RNAcentral is "partial 16S ribosomal RNA". It matches the Rfam family "Bacterial small subunit ribosomal RNA", at positions 28 to 507 of the family's 1533-position model. The record is from RNAcentral.